GAUGGGUAGGGGAGCGUCGUGUGCCGGGUGAAGCAGCCGCGGAAGCGAGUUGUGGACGGUUCACGAGUGAGAAUGCAGGCAUGAGUAGCGAUACACACGUGGGAAACGUGUGCGCCGAUUGACUAAGGGUUCCUGGGUCAAGCUGAUCUGCCCAGGGUAAGUCGGGACCUAAGGCGAGGCCGACAGGCGUAGUCGAUGGACAACCGGUUGAUAUUCCGGUACCCGCUUUGAAACGCCCAAUAUCGAAUC
This 249-nucleotide non-coding RNA is filed under the name Streptomyces sp. NRRL B-1568. RNAcentral's name for it is "partial 23S ribosomal RNA". It matches the Rfam family "Bacterial large subunit ribosomal RNA", at positions 1223 to 1471 of the family's 2925-position model. Lineage: Bacteria; Bacillati; Actinomycetota; Actinomycetes; Kitasatosporales; Streptomycetaceae. The record is from RNAcentral.